This 425-nucleotide ribosomal RNA is filed under the name uncultured bacterium. RNAcentral's name for it is "partial 16S ribosomal RNA". It matches the Rfam family "Bacterial small subunit ribosomal RNA", at positions 354 to 796 of the family's 1533-position model. The record is from RNAcentral.
GUGGGGAAUAUUGCACAAUGGGGGAAACCCUGAUGCAGCAACGCCGCGUGAGUGAUGACGGUCUUCGGAUUGUAAAGCUCUGUCUUCAGGGACGAUAAUGACGGUACCUGAGGAGGAAGCCACGGCUAACUACGUGCCAGCAGCCGCGGUAAUACGUAGGUGGCAAGCGUUGUCCGGAUUUACUGGGCGUAAAGGGAGCGUAGGUGGAUAUUUAAGUGGGAUGUGAAAUACUCGGGCUUAACCUGGGUGCUGCAUUCCAAACUGGAUAUCUAGAGUGCAGGAGAGGAGAGUGGAAUUCCUAGUGUAGCGGUGAAAUGCGUAGAGAUGAGGAAGAACACCAGUGGCGAAGGCGACUCUCUGGACUGUAACUGACACUGAGGCUCGAAAGCGUGGGGAGCAAACAGGAUUAGAAACCCUUGUAGUCC